GUGCCAGCAGCCGCGGUAAUACGGAGGGAGCAAGCGUUACUCGGAAUUAUUGGGCGUAAAGGGCGCGUAGGCGAUUGUGCAAGUCUUUUGUGAAAGCCCCCGGCUUAACCGGGGAAGUGCAGAAGAUACUGCACAAUUUGAGUUCCGGAGAGGAAGGCAGAAUUCCCGGUGUAGCGGUGAAAUGCGUAGAGAUCGGGAGGAAUACCAGUGGCGAAGGCGGCCUUCUGGACGGAUACUGACGCUGAGGCGCGAAAGCCAGGGGAGCAAACGGGAUUAGAUACCCCGGUAGUCCUGGCUGUAAACGAUGUGUGCUUGGUGUGAGCCGGUUUUCGGUUCGUGCCGUAGUUAACGCAAUAAGCACACCGCCUGGGGAGUACGGUCGCAAGGCUGAA
RNAcentral lists this ribosomal RNA (392 nucleotides) under uncultured bacterium. RNAcentral describes it as "bacterial SSU rRNA". It matches the Rfam family "Bacterial small subunit ribosomal RNA", at positions 505 to 898 of the family's 1533-position model. The record is from RNAcentral.